AAAAGAACAGGAGGGAAUGAGAGGCUCAGCCCCAUAGACCCUUCUCCCUGCUGCCAUCCACUCAGGGCAUUGUGCUUAGUGAAAGCCCAGUUUCCGCAGGGAUUACUUUGGGCACACAACAUUCUAGGAGCUGGAUGUCCAGGAAUUCCUGUUAAUUAGGCAUUUAUUCACGGAAUAAAUGUUUCCCUGAAGAGCUUUCUGCAGCUGGCCAAUGUUCCGGUUUGGUCGUGGGCAGUGAGAUGCCCAUUAGUCUAGAAUACACGACAGUGUGAGGCGCACGUUCACACGUGAAUUGCCCGUAGUCAAGGAUCUUGCUAUGGUGCCCAGGCUGGCCUUGAACUUCUGGCCUCAAGCAAUCCACCCAUCUCAGUCUCCCGAGUAGCCGGGAUUACAGAUCUACAUUUAGAACAGGACUGCAAAGAAAGGAAAGGAGAAAUGAAGAAAAGGAAGCAGACAAAGUUCUGGUUUUCAGUAGUUCCUUGGAGAGCUCAAGACUCAGACUCUGACCCUGUCUGCAAAGGGGGAUCGUCCAGCCUUUGAAAUAACCAUUUCCUUCCCUCCUGGCCUUUUUCAGAUCAGAGAGGUGGGAGGGGGCGUGGAGAUUUAGUUCCCGGAUGCACUGAACAGGAGGCUGUGAGCUUUCCUCUGAUGUGCGACUCUUCUGCAGGGGCCCUGGCCCUGGGAGGCGGGGCUCUGGGCUGCGGCAGCUCCUCCUGUGGUCUACCUUGGCUUCACUGCAGGCCCAGCUGCUGCUGACCACGCGGGUUUCUUUUAAGAGGCUUGGCUGACCCUCAGCACAGCUGAAAUGUUCUGAGACCUUGAAUGUCAGAGAUGGAAGCAACUUUAUGAUUCUCUGGGCCAGAGGUUCCCAGGCUGGGGUCCCUGGACUUGGGGUGCUCAGACUAUUCCCGGUUCUUUCAAAAGCUGAAAAGAAACAGUAUAUAGCCCCUGUGUGAGGGCUCACGGGCUCGUAAAAGUAUCCGGUGUCUUGACUUUUCUCUGAAAUCAGCUCCAGCUGGUCCCUCUGUACCCUGGUGUUGCUGGUGACAGUGAUAGCUUCCCACUGAACUUAGCUGCUAGAAGCAAGGUGAAGCCCUUCACACACCAUCUCACUGAUCUUCGAUCCUGUAAGAUGGGUACGUUUAUGAGUCCUAUUUUGCAGAUGGAGACACUAAGUGCCAAAGGGGUUAAGCACUGUGCCCGAGUUCACACACCCAGCAGCCUGACUCCACAGCUCCAACCCCCAGCUACUAGCAAAUAGUCCUCUGAAAGCUCAGUUAUUUAGCUUUGAACACAGCAAAACUCAUCAUUAUUCAGGGAAGAUAAUUUAGUAGAGAAAAUGUUGAGAUCUAAGUACUACACUUAGGAGGAAUAAUAAAAGGGUUGGUGGAAUAGUUGAGGAUAUGCCAUUUUUAAUUUUUUAUUGAUUUUGUUUUGUUUUGUUUUGUUUUUCUUUGCUCUUGAGAGAUGGCACAUGCCACUUUGUUUUGUAAAACAAAGGCCUAGAGAAGUGAGGGUCCUG
RNAcentral lists this long non-coding RNA (1522 nucleotides) under Homo sapiens (human). RNAcentral describes it as "non-protein coding lnc-COL15A1-1:2". Lineage: Eukaryota; Metazoa; Chordata; Mammalia; Primates; Hominidae. The record is from RNAcentral.